Molecule: small nucleolar RNA, 105 nt
Organism: Macaca fascicularis (crab-eating macaque)
Lineage: Eukaryota; Metazoa; Chordata; Mammalia; Primates; Cercopithecidae
Source: Ensembl
AUCCUUUUGUAGUUCAUGAGCAUGACCAUCGGGUGUUUACAUGCAUGUGUGAGAUAUGCCACCCUGUGAACCUUGUUACGACAUUGGCAUGUUACCCAUCUAACC